RNAcentral lists this ribosomal RNA (252 nucleotides) under uncultured prokaryote. Its description in RNAcentral is "partial 16S ribosomal RNA". It matches the Rfam family "Bacterial small subunit ribosomal RNA", at positions 525 to 777 of the family's 1533-position model. The record is from RNAcentral.
ACAGAGGGUGCGAGCGUUAAUCGGAAUUACUGGGCGUAAAGGGCGCGUAGGCGGUUGGUUAGUUAGGUGUGAAAUUCCUGGGCUCAACCUGGGGACUGCAUUUGAUACUGAUUGACUAGAGUAUGGUAGAGGGGAGUGGAAUUUCCGGUGUAGCGGUGAAAUGCGUAGAUAUCGGAAGGAACACCAGUGGCGAAGGCGACUCUCUGGGCCAAUACUGACGCUGAGGCGCGAAAGCGUGGGGAUCAAACAGGA